CUGGGAAAAACAAGGAGCGCCAGAACCGUGAUCAGCAGGAAGGCGAACAAGGAGCGCCAGAACCGUGAUCAGCAGGAAGGCGAACAAGGAGUGCCAGAACCGUGAUCAGCAGGAAAGCGGUGGGGAGUUUUGCACAAAACCUGGAUAUUUUGCAUUUCUCUGCAAAACGACUCCUAAAAAGGAAAAUGGAGGAUGAAGAUGGAUAUAUGGCUAUCGACCCAACACGAAGGGAUACCUACAUGCAACCCAGCACACAAAAGAUGGAAGUUAAUUCCACAGAUUCCUCCUCGAACCGCCGAUGCUGGAAAAUCACACUAGGGGUUUCUCUGCUAUGCAGCCUUGCUCUGAAUGUGACCCUGAUCAUUCUUU
Sphaerodactylus townsendi is the source of this 369-nucleotide long non-coding RNA. RefSeq lists it as uncharacterized. Lineage: Eukaryota; Metazoa; Chordata; Lepidosauria; Squamata; Sphaerodactylidae. The transcript is spliced from 3 exons. The record is from RefSeq and is a predicted model, not a curated record.